RNAcentral lists this unclassified non-coding RNA (139 nucleotides) under uncultured Chaetosphaeriales. Its description in RNAcentral is "sequence contains ITS2". Lineage: Eukaryota; Fungi; Ascomycota; Sordariomycetes. The record is from RNAcentral.
CCACCCCUCAGGCCCCGCCUGGCGUUGGGGGACUGCGCCGCAGCCCCCGAAAGACAGCGGCGGACACGCCCAAAGCCGAGCGCAGUACGCAUCUCGCUCCGGCCCACAGCGCGCCCGGCCGUCCAACUCUCCGACAACG